This is a small nuclear RNA of Calocera viscosa, 116 nucleotides long. Lineage: Eukaryota; Fungi; Basidiomycota; Dacrymycetes; Dacrymycetales; Dacrymycetaceae. The record is from Rfam.
GUCCCCUUCGGGGUGACAUACGAAAAAAUUGGAACGAUACAGAGAAGAUUAGCAUGGCCCCUGCACAAGGAUGACACGCUUUCCAGAGUGGAUGCGCUCCGGCGCACAAUAUUUAU